UCACGCUCUACAUGUGUAUUCAGUUCGUCCUACACUCUCUUCGCCGGUAAAUCUCCCCAUCUGGCCCUCCUGAAAAAGCAAAUUGAUGCAGGAAUGAUAAUCAGGCACAUGCAGCAGAGGAGGACACCAUGAUGAAAAGAAGGAUCAGAAUUCAGAAACCGAGGUCAGUUUACAAAUCACUUGCAGCUGCUAUAGUAUACUUGCUCAAUGGGGCCCAUUGAUGCUUGCAUAUAUAUGAUUGGUAGGAACAUACUAAAAGAUUGAUGGAUGGAUAGAUAGAUACAUGUAUACUGCUUGAUUUCUGUACUGCUCCUAGUAAUAUGAAUAUACUCUCUUCAUCUCACAGAGAAUAAAUGUAGCAUUCAAUGUGUAGUACAACGAAUUUGAAUAGAGAUAUGUUUAUAAUCUUAAGAUACUUCCUAUGUUUCUUAAUAACUUUAUUUUUUGAUUUUUAUGUCCAACGCUUUUGACCAUUCGUCUUAUUUAAAAAAUUUGUAAAAAACUUAAAAAAAAUUAGUCACACAUAAAGUAUUAUUCAUGUUUUAUCAUCUAGCAAGAAUAAAAAUAUUAAUCAUAAAAAAAUUUAAAUAAGAUGAAGAAUCAAAAUAGUAUAUUAAAAAACUAAAAAAUGAUCAUAUUUCGAAACGGAAAUAGUAUGUCGUAUCCAAUAUUAAUUUAGUUUUUUAUGGGACCGAUGGAGUACAGUGCAAUAAUCUGUUGGGCGUUUUGCAUGAUUCCUUUGAGACUGUCAGUCGGUCAUCGAACGUGCGCAAACACCGAAGCAUUCCUCUUCUUUUCAGAGAGGUGACACGCACUGGCUAGCUCUUGGGUGCUCCCAAUGAUCAGUGUAUCUAACUGACAUUCCUGUGGUCACUGACACUGACACACCGGGCUACGUACCUCGUCAGUGGCCAUGUAAACAUCGCUGAUUAAGUAGAUUAGCUAGCUAACCAUUUCUCUUUUCUGAACACAUUAAAUGACCCCAAGAGGCCAAGAUCGACUAGUUAAGCCUAUUUUAGUGUAGUGAUUUGCUAAUUAGCUAGAGUGCAAUUUGCAUGGAUUAAUUGCAGAACAGAGUUGCAGUUGACAAUGCUUAAUUAGCUGAGUUUCAGAGGUUAAUUAGAACAGAUUGUUGCACUAGCUGUGAACUGAUCGCGUUUGCACGACAGAAGUAUUAGGACACGAACACAUGCGGAAACCAUAUGCAUUCUUGACUAAUCUGCACUGAAACGAGGAGAAAAAUAGUAGCAGAGAUGAAUGAAUACCUAUUGUGAAUCGGGUCGGGGCCAUUCGGCACUUUCCUCUUGCUGUCCUGGUAUGGAUCAGCUGCAGACGUCGUCGUCGCAACCGGUGGCACCGUCGUCGUAGCUCCGGCGACAUCACCUCGCGGCCGCGUGACGACGUCCGGUCCAGGAGCAUUGUUACCCAUGCCGCCGGCAGCAGCCGGCCCGGGCCUAGCGCCGACCGCCGUUGACGCCGACGAGACCAGCACGACGCAGACGAGCAAGACGGCGACGAGCUGCCGGUCACCGCCGGCGCCCGUCCGACACCAGCUGCUUCCACCAACGCCUCUCCGCAUAUCUCCACUAGCUAGCUGCUUGCUGUUCAGGCGAUCACCGCUACCUCCUCGUCAGCAAUCACCGCCGCCGCGCGCGCUUGCCACUGCUAUUAUUAUAUAUGAUGCUAUCUCCUCCUGGUCUCCUCCCGGUACUGGAGAGAAGCGCACCCUGUGGACGAACAGAUCAUGGCUAGCUAGGCUAACAGAUGGCCGCCACCAACUCCGGGAGUUCUUGAGAGCGAGAAGAAGUAGCCAGCCCGUCGUGAUGGCCGGAGGAGGAAGAAGAAGAAGAAUGUGUGAUCUAGCUACGUACUACUAUAGACGAUGAUAUAUAUACACAACACAUCGUCUCAUCAGUGAUGAUCUGCUUGCUGCUCAGGUCGAAAUCAGCCAAGCUUUAGCUUCGAUACAGAGCUUGAUGUUGAUGUGCAUAGACAGCGAUGUGGCGAGGCAUACACCUGACAGGCUCAUAAUAACUUUAUUUUUCGUUUUUUCGUGUCCAAUAUUUUGACCAUUCGUCUUAUUUAAAAAAAAUUAUAUAAAAAAUUAAAAAAAUUAGUCACACAUAAAAUAUUAUCCAUGUUUUAUCAUCUAGUAAGAAUAAAAAUACUAAUAAAAAAAAUUUUAAAUAAAACAAAGAGUUAAAACACUAUAUAAAAAAAAUUUCGCUCAUCCUUCUCUUUGUUGGUUCGCUCGAAAAGCAGCAGGCACAGAUCAGGGAUACACCGGGUCACGUCGUGAUCAGCUCUGUCUCUCUUUCUCGACGAUGAAUUUGGGUGAGCCUGCCCGAGAAAGACAGUGAAGUUCCAAAGUUGGAGCAGCUGGGAUCCGGGCCACACCGGCCGGACAGCAUGCAGAAUAUUCAAAUGGAUUGUGAGCAGCAGGGUGUGCCAGGGUGGCCUACCCUGUCUGAAUGAGCUGACGAUGAUUAACCAUGCAUUGCAGAGUUAGUACGUACUAUACGUACUGCUGCAGAAUAUUGGUCUAGUCCUAGUAGGAUUAGAUACGGUGGCUUUGCACUUGCCCCUGUUUAGUUCACGAAAAAAAAAUUUGGUGUCACUUUAGACGUUUUGACUGAAUAUCGAAAUAGAUUAUAUUUGAUUGAACGUCGGAAUAGAUUUUCGCGCAUGAAUAAAAACAAACAAAUUUCAUAGUUCAUCUGAAAACCGCAAGACGAAUCUUUUUAGCCUAAUUAAUCCGUCAUUAACAUAUAUGUGUUACCAUAGUACUUAUUGUUAAUUAAUCAUGGACAAAAUAAGCUUAAAAAUUCGUCUAACGAUUUUUUCCUUAACUAUGUAAUUAUUUCUUUUAUCUAUGUUUAAUGUUUUAUUUAGGUGUCUAAAAUUUAACGUGAUGUUUUUUGGAAAAAGAUUGGGAACUAAACGGGCCCUGAGUUGUGCUUGGAAGCAUGGCUUAAUGAUUAGGGGCAUGAGACAUAGGGAUGGCUUCGGCUAUUAGUCAAUUGCUUGGUGUUUUUUUCCCAGAUUGUUAUUCUUUUCUUCCGAUUUAGAUAGAUUUGAGUAUGCGUUAUCCACUUAAUUGACCUAUAAACGGGUUGACGGACAAACCCACUUACACCCCUAGCUUUGAGAUUCAUGCAAAUCUAUACUCCCUCCGUACUCGAAUUUCUGGUCGUUCUAGGAGGAGAACAUAUUACCGUUUUUCUGUUCGUUCUGAGAGAAGUAGCCAUUUUGAGCCCAUUUUACCCCUGCAAAACACACAGUCCCAAUGCAAUUAAUACUUGACGUCGCUUUGUUUCACGAGCUGCUGCAGCCAUGCACGAAGCGUCAGGUUGAUAACCAGCCACCCAUGCACAACACCAGAGAAUAGCUCUCCAUAGCUAGGUCGCUGCUUUCUGGAGCAUGCAGCUCGCAGCGC
RNAcentral lists this long non-coding RNA (3436 nucleotides) under Oryza brachyantha (malo sina). Its description in RNAcentral is "long non-coding RNA (OBRA_LNC000895)". Lineage: Eukaryota; Viridiplantae; Streptophyta; Magnoliopsida; Poales; Poaceae. The record is from RNAcentral.